UGGGGAAUAUUGCACAAUGGGCGCAAGCCUGAUGCAGCCAUGCCGCGUGUAUGAAGAAGGCCUUCGGGUUGUAAAGUACUUUCAGUCGGGAGGAAGGUGGUAAGGUUAAUAACCUUAUCAAUUGACGUUACCGACAGAAGAAGCACCGGCUAACUCCGUGCCAGCAGCCGCGGUAAUACGGAGGGUGCAAGCGUUAAUCGGAAUUACUGGGCGUAAGCGCACGCAGGCGGUUUGUUAAGUCAGAUGUGAAAUCCUCGGGCUCAACCUGGGAACUGCAUCUGAUACUGGCAAGCUUGAGUCUCGUAGAGGGGGGUAGAAUUCCAGGUGUAGCGGUGAAAUGCGUAGAGAUCUGGAGGAAUACCGGUGGCGAAGGCGGCCCCCUGGACGAAGACUGACGCUCAGGUGCGAAAGCGUGGGGAGCAAACAGG
This 428-nucleotide ribosomal RNA is filed under the name Chloroflexota bacterium. Its description in RNAcentral is "Chloroflexi bacterium partial 16S ribosomal RNA". It matches the Rfam family "Bacterial small subunit ribosomal RNA", at positions 355 to 776 of the family's 1533-position model. Lineage: Bacteria; Bacillati; Chloroflexota. The record is from RNAcentral.